ACUGAAUUGCAGUAUCCUUAAAGCCAGUUUAUUAAUAAGUCCGUACUAGUGGACGAAAUAAGAUUAUAAUAAAUUAGGACAUUGAGGCAUAUUAAUUGAAUCUUUGAAACUUCUUCUUAUGAAAAUUUCUCAAGGAUCGAUUGUUCUGUCACUUAAAACAUUUUGAGGGAGCUCGAGUCACUUAAAGAAUUAAACUUCGUAGAUCUUCGGUCCAUCCUAACAAACCGCUAUUUAUUAUGACAUCGUCGGGUUUCAUUCAUUUCAUCAAGAACGCCGUUCAUUUUACGAGGAAUUACGUAUUUACACAAUUAAUCAAUCCUGCACGAUAGAUUAAAAAUCACAACUGGAGAUGUGAAGAAUGCGUUAUCGCUGUAACUACAUCCACGGCCAAAGCUGCCUUUACAGAAAUUACAGCCGCUUCUGAUAUACAAGUUGUUGGAAAGGUAACAAACUUUAUAUUUACUCGGGACAUUAGUUUGGUUUCAAGAUAUCAAAUGUCGAGCGAAUAGUCCGAUAUCUCAAGUUCUUGCACAAGAAUGAAAUGAUGCGGUGGAUUGGAUGCUAUUUUAUUUGCCAACGACCAGACCUACAGCGUCGAUGGUCAUAAAGGGAGUUAAAAAUUCAAUUUUAUAAGGAAUUAUAACAAUGUUAAGUAGUGAUAGCUGAUGUUAGUCACUAAUGAGUGGUGAUGCUUUGCAUAUCCGGCAAUGUUUUAUGCAGCUUAAUAUUAAAUGAAACCUUUUACAGUCAUCCUUACUUUUGGUGUUGGUAAAAGAAGCUCGACUUUCUGAUCGCCGUAGCUAUUCAACCCGAAAUGGAUCGAAAGUACAUAAUUUCUACUGUGUUCGCAUUUAAGCUGCACUGGUUUUCUCAGAAUAGUGUACCUCGCCCCAUUAUAAAAACAAAGACUGAUAGGAACAAGUAAAAAGGGAAGUUGUCUUUUGAGACAUUCAUACUGAUAUAUAAAACUUUUUAAAGGGAAAGUAAGAAUACUGAGAUGAAGGGAAAAAGAUCAUAAGUGAUCAAGUAGCUAUGGAAAGAAUGGUAGGAAAGUUACACGUUUGCAUCUAACCCGUGAAUUGAAGGGCGUAGAAAGAGAAAGAGCAUUAUAUCAAACUGACGUAAAAUUAUACACUGUUCUAACAAGGCGAAUAUACUUCCAAGUAUCUACUAAUCGCAGUUCCUAACAGGUAUCGGAAAUAAACCAGAGAAAGAAUUGAUUUUACUUGCCUAGAAGAAAAUGAAAACUUGGUAAUUGCAAAUUCUAUAAUUAACUUUAAACCUUAAAUUAACACACAUUUAUUUAAUUUAUAUAUGUUUGGCGUUUAAAAUUCAGCCGUAGAUCUUACAAGAUACCUUCUUAGCUCGCAUUUAGAAGAGACAACGUCGAAUCUACUUCGAUUCAUAUCGAACUGUGUUAAAUAUCAACAUAUAUUGUAAGAGUACAUUUUUAUACGAAAAGUAACUAAUCUGUGUAUUAAAUUAAUAAUAAUAAACAUAUAUUUUACGGAUC
This is a long non-coding RNA of Centruroides sculpturatus (bark scorpion), 1513 nucleotides long. RefSeq lists it as uncharacterized. The record is from RefSeq and is a predicted model, not a curated record. The transcript has 4 exons. NCBI's taxonomy places the organism in Eukaryota, Metazoa, Arthropoda, Arachnida, Scorpiones, Buthidae.